GGCGACCGGCGCACGGGUGAGUAACGCGUAUCCCACCUUCCGCUUACUCGGGGAUAGCCUUUCGAAAGAAAGAUUACUACCCGAUGGUAUCUUAAGCACGCAUGAGAUUAAGAUUAAAGAUUUAUCGGUAAGCGAUGGGGAUGCGUUCCAUUAGGCAGUUGGCGGGGUAACGGCCCACCAAACCUACGAUGGAUAGGGGUUCUGAGAGGAAGGUCCCCCACAUUGGAACUGAGACACGGUCCAAACUCCUACGGGAGGCAGCAGUGAGGAAUAUUGGUCAAUGGGCGAGAGCCUGAACCAGCCAAGUAGCGUGAAGGAUGACGGCCCUACGGGUUGUAAACUUCUUUUGUGCGGGAAUAAAGGAACCUACGUGUAGGUUUUUGCAUGUACCGUAACGAAUAAGCAUCGGCUAACUCCGUGCCAGCAGCCGCGGUAAUACGGAGGAUGCGAGCGUUAUCCGGAUUUAUUGGGUUUAAAGGGAGCGUAGACGGGUUUUUAAGUCAGCUGUGAAAGUUUGGGGCUCAACCUUAAAAUUGCAGUUGAAACUGGAGACCUUGAGUACGGUUGAGGCAGGCGGAAUUCGUGGUGUAGCGGUGAAAUGCUUAGAUAUCACGAAGAACUCCGAUUG
RNAcentral lists this ribosomal RNA (628 nucleotides) under uncultured Bacteroides sp. Its description in RNAcentral is "bacterial SSU rRNA". It matches the Rfam family "Bacterial small subunit ribosomal RNA", at positions 90 to 715 of the family's 1533-position model. The record is from RNAcentral. Lineage: Bacteria; Pseudomonadati; Bacteroidota; Bacteroidia; Bacteroidales; Bacteroidaceae.